Molecule: ribosomal RNA, 499 nt
Filed under: uncultured bacterium
Lineage: Bacteria
Description: partial 16S ribosomal RNA
Rfam family: Bacterial small subunit ribosomal RNA
Source: RNAcentral
GAUGAACGCUAGCGGCAGGCCUAAUACAUGCAAGACGAACGGCAAGAAUUGUAGCAAUACGGUUCCUAGAGUGUCGCACGGGUGCGUAACACGUAUGCAACCUACCUUGUACAGGAGUAUAGCUCGGGGAAACUCGAAUUAACCCUCCAUAAUAUAAUCGGAUGGCAUCAUUUGAUUAUUAAAACUUCGGUGGUACAAGAUGGGCAUGCGUUUGAUUAGCUAGUUGGCGGGGUAAAGGCCCACCAAGGCGAUGAUCAAUAGGGGAACUGAGAGGUUGAUCCCCCACACUGGCACUGAGAUACGAGCCAGACUCCUACGGGAGGCAGCAGUGGGGAAUAUUGGUCAAUGGAUGGAAGUCUGAACCAGCCAUGCCGCGUGCAGGAAGAAGGCCUUCUGGGUUGUAAACUGCUUUUGCCAGGGGAUAAAAAUUCUUUGCGAAGAAAAUUGAAGGUACCUGGUGAAUAAGCACCGGCUAACUACGUGCCAGCCGCCGCCGUAA